RNAcentral lists this transfer RNA (75 nucleotides) under bacterium. RNAcentral's name for it is "tRNA-Gly". It matches the Rfam family "tRNA". Rfam says of the family: Transfer RNA (tRNA) molecules are approximately 80 nucleotides in length. Their secondary structure includes four short double-helical elements and three loops (D, anti-codon, and T loops). The record is from RNAcentral.
GCGGUUAUCGUAUAGCGUCUAUUAUGGGUCCUUGCCAAGGACCAGAUGGGGGUUCAACUCCCCCUACCCGCUCCA